AUUGAACGCUGGCGGCAUGCCUUACACAUGCAAGUCGAACGGUAACAGGUCUUCGGAUGCUGACGAGUGGCGAACGGGUGAGUAAUACAUCGGAACGUGCCUAGUAGUGGGGGAUAACUACUCGAAAGAGUGGCUAAUACCGCAUGAGAUCUACGGAUGAAAGCAGGGGAUCGCAAGACCUUGGCCUACUAGAGCGGCCGAUGGCAGAUUAGGUAGUUGGUGGGAUAAAAGCUUACCAAGCCGAAGAUCUGUAGCUGGUCUGAGAGGACGAUCAGCCACACUGGGACUGAGACACGGCCCAGACUCCUACGGGAGGCAGCAGUGGAGAAUUUUGGACAAUGGGCGAAAGCCUGAUCCAGCAAUGCCGCGUGCAGGAUGAAGGCCUUCGGGUUGUAAACUGCUUUUGUACGGAACGAAAAGCCCUGGGUUAAUACCCUGGGGUCAUGACGGUACCGUAAGAAUAAGCACCGGCUAACUACGUGCCAGCCGCCGCAGUAA
Molecule: ribosomal RNA, 498 nt
Filed under: uncultured bacterium
Lineage: Bacteria
Description: partial 16S ribosomal RNA
Rfam family: Bacterial small subunit ribosomal RNA
Source: RNAcentral